UUAGGAUCUAAUCAGCAACGAUCUUCUUGCUUUAUUUAAGUAGCUCUAUAACAAUAAUCUUGAUCUCUCCAAGCUUUAUUAUGCUUUGAUCUUUUUAAUCCCUAAGGAGGCUACCUUGCAUCCAUCAGAGUUUAGAUGUAUCAGCUUAAUUCAUGGUUGCAUAAAAAUAGUCACUAAGGUUCUUGCAAAUAGGCUGUAACCUUUUAUAGACUCUUUAAUUGAUUCUGCUCAAGUAGCCUAUAUUAAAGCUUGAUCAAUCCUUGACAACAUCCUUGUGCACAUGAAGUUCUUUACCAUGC
This 299-nucleotide long non-coding RNA is filed under the name Elaeis guineensis (African oil palm). Its description in RNAcentral is "long non-coding RNA (EGUI_LNC036159)". Lineage: Eukaryota; Viridiplantae; Streptophyta; Magnoliopsida; Arecales; Arecaceae. The record is from RNAcentral.